This 503-nucleotide ribosomal RNA is filed under the name uncultured bacterium. RNAcentral describes it as "partial 16S ribosomal RNA". It matches the Rfam family "Bacterial small subunit ribosomal RNA", at positions 30 to 523 of the family's 1533-position model. The record is from RNAcentral.
AUUGAACGCUGGCGGCAGGCUUAACACAUGCAAGUCGAGCGGGGUGAUGGUGCUUGCACUAUCACUUAGCGGCGGACGGGUGAGUAAUGCUUAGGAAUCUGCCUAUUAGUGGGGGACAACAUCUCGAAAGGGAUGCUAAUACCGCAUACGUCCUACGGGAGAAAGCAGGGGAUCACUUGUGACCUUGCGCUAAUAGAUGAGCCUAAGUCGGAUUAGCUAGUUGGUGGGGUAAAGGCCUACCAAGGCGACGAUCUGUAGCGGGUCUGAGAGGAUGAUCCGCCACACUGGGGAUGAGACACGGCCCAGACUCCUACGGGAGGCAGCAGUGGGGAAUAUUGGACAAUGGGGGGAACCCUGAUCCAGCCAUGCCGCGUGUGUGAAGAAGGCCUUAUGGUUGUAAAGCACUUUAAGCGAGGAGGAGGCUCUUUUGGUUAAUACCCAAGAUGAGUGGACGUUACUCGCAGAAUAAGCACCGGCUAACUCUGUGCCAGCAGCCGCCGUAA